Molecule: ribosomal RNA, 236 nt
Filed under: uncultured Rhodocyclales bacterium
Lineage: Bacteria; Pseudomonadati; Pseudomonadota; Betaproteobacteria; Rhodocyclales
Description: partial 16S ribosomal RNA
Rfam family: Bacterial small subunit ribosomal RNA
Source: RNAcentral
CGAACGGGUGAGUAAUACAUCGGAACGUGUCGAGAAGAGGGGGAUAACCACCCGAAAGGGUGGCUAAUACCGCAUAAAUUCUGAGGAAGAAAGCUGGGGACCUGGGAAUAGGCCUAGCGCUUUUUGAGCGGCCGAUGUCGGAUUAGCUAGUUGGUGAGGUAAAGGCUCACCAAGGCGAAGAUCUGUAGCGGGUCUGAGAGGAUGAUCCGCCACACUGGGACUGAGACACGGCCCAG